Lonchura striata (white-rumped munia) is the source of this 362-nucleotide non-coding RNA. The record is from RefSeq and is a predicted model, not a curated record. NCBI's taxonomy places the organism in Eukaryota, Metazoa, Chordata, Aves, Passeriformes, Estrildidae.
UCUGUCCCUGUAACGGAAAUAAUUCCCAUUCUAUUCCAAAAAAACAGCCCAGAAGCCAUGGGAUCCCAGGAACAGGCUUCUCCCUCUAGUGGCAGCAGAAAGGGAGAUGCAGAACUCUUGGACCAGGAGCCCUUCUCUCCAAACCUGGUGGGUGAAGGUGGUUUGUAAGUACUGUCCUCAACACAGAGCAUGUGGCUGGAGAUGUCACCUCUCUUCAAAGGCUUGCUUCUACCUCUUGAAAGAUGAAUUUGUGUGGAAAAAGCACACGUUGGCUCUGAAAUUCUGAUUUGUCUGCAGACCUGUGUGACCCCUGUCAUUUGAGAGAGACUUCCCAAAGAAAGAAGGGGUUGGGCUGGACCAGC